Non-coding RNA from Glycine soja, 71 nucleotides. The record is from Rfam. Lineage: Eukaryota; Viridiplantae; Streptophyta; Magnoliopsida; Fabales; Fabaceae.
GGUGCGAGUGUCUUCGCCUCUGAGAGAGAUACUAUGAGAUCUCAAGCCUCGGAGGCGUAGAUACUCACACC